GUGCUGAUACAGCCAGCUGUGAGAGCUGCUCCCUUUUCUGCUCUGAAGUUCCCUCUUCUCAGAAGGCAGGACCACCCUGAGUUGCUGGCAGUGAGUCUGUUCCAAGUUCCAGUGAGGGAGGCAUCCACCCACUUGGGGCUUCUGUCCAAGGUAAGGAGCACCUGCGAGUCUAACUGUCAGGCUCUGAUGGGUGUCUCGUCUCUGUGGGACUAGAAAGUGCCCCAACAAUCUGACCGAGGUAAUGGGAAGUUACAGAAGUUAAGAGAAGGACAGGGUAAGUCGGUAAGAAAGUGCAGAGGAAGAGAAACAAAGGAAAGAUAGAGGUCUGCAAAGAAGUGAGCUAAGAGCAAAGCUUCAGCAGACUCAGGAGAGAUAGGUUAACAGUGAGGAGAGGUAGAAAUAGAGAUGAAGGAGAUUAGAGAGGUCUGAGAUGAGAGAGAUACUCUAAAUGAGAAAUAUUUAGAGGAAGAACCAGUAAAUAAGAGUCAGACAAGAAGAAGAGUUAAGGAAACAUGAGGCUGACAAAGACAGAGACCAGAGUCAGAAUCAGAGCUGUGCUGUGAGACAAAAAGAUAUAUAUAUAUAUAUAUAUAGAGAGAAGAUUAUUAUGAGAUCUCCAUUACAGUUAGGAAACAGGAGUAAAGAGAGGUAAAUGACAAAGACUAAAACCUAGCAAAGUGGCACAUGCUAGCACUUAGAAAUGAUCUGUAAGAAAUAAGAAGCCAGAAAAUUAAAAAAAGAUAAGAGAAAUGAAAUGCUUGCCACAAAAGUCAGGGAAACUAAAAAACUUAGAUAAGUACCUGGCAACAAAAGAAAGCUUUUGGCUAAAGAUCAAUGUGUUUAAGAGAUCGCAAAAGGGGUGCUAAUACAGAAGCUGAGUCCUUAGAAGAGGCCGGUGGCCUACCUGUUGAAGCAGCUAGAAAAGAGACUGUGUUUCAUACUCCUCCACCGACCAGUGCAAAACAAGCUAAAAAAGUUCCUGGGCACUGCGGGCUUUUGCAGAUUGUGGAUUCCAGGUUUUACUAAAUUAAAGAGAUAAACAGCCCUUCGUAUAUAAAAAAUAAAGAACAAUCUUGGAUGGCCUUGGAUGCUAUUGAGACUGCCCUAAUGUUGUCCCCAACUUUGGGACUCCUAGAUGUGACUGAGAACAAAAGUUUUGCCAAAGAGGUUCUUACUCAGAGAUUGGGACCCAGGAAAAGACCUGUGGCAUACUUGUAAGAAAUUAGACUUGGUGGCUGUAGGAUGGCCUGCUUGUCUGCACAUAGUGGCUUCUGGUCAAGGACGCAGAUAAAUUGACUCUGAGACAAAAUUUGGCACAUGCCCUAAAAAGUGUGGUUCAGCCCCCCCGACUGAUGGCUGACUAAUGCUCUUAAAAACAUUAUCCAACUGUUCCCCUGACCGAUGGACACAUUGUCAGAGCUUUUUGUUGACUGAACGAGUGACCUUCGCUCCCCCUGCUGUCCUCAAUCUCACUACUGCCUGAGACUUCACCUACUCAUCAUUGUGCUGACAUUCUGGCAGAAGGAACUCAUACUCGAAAUGAUCUGAAGGAUCAGAUCAGCCUUGGCCUGAGAGUUUGAGCUGGUACACGGAUGGCAGUAGCCUCGAGGUUGAAGGUAAGCGGAAGGCGGGGACAGCAGUGCAGUGGUGGACAGAAAGCAAGUGAUCUAGGCCAGCAGCCUCCCUAAAGGGACUUCAGCCCAGAAAGCUAAUCUUGUGGCUUUAAUACAAGCUCUAUAUAUACAGACAAAGAGAGCUGUUGACAUCUGCAGAGAAAGACCUAAGAUGCUGUGGCUAAAAGAAAUCAGAUGGCAAAUCUAACCACCAAACAGGCAUCCUAAAGAGCAAUGAUCCUGACAGUCUGAAGACUAUCAAGUUAUAGACAAAUUAAGACUGGUAAAAGAAACCCUGUAUAAAAUAGUAGAAACUGAAGUAAGAAAACUAGUCCUCUCAUGAGAAGACAGACCUGACAUCUACUGAAAAAUAGACUUUACUGAAAAAAUAUGUGUAUGAAUACCUUCUGGUUUUUGUGAACAUUCUCAAGAUAGAUAAAAGCUUUUCCUUGUAAAACUGAGACUGCUCAGAUAGUCAUCAAGAAGAUUAUUAAAAAAAAUUUUUUUCCAAGGUUCAGAGUGCCAAAAGCAAUAGUGUCAGAUAAUGGCCCUGCCUUUGUUGCCCAGGUAAGUCAGGUUGUGGCCAAGUAUUUAGAGGUCAAAUGAAAAUUGUAUUAUGUGUACAGACCUCAGAACUCAGGACAGAUAGAAAUAAUGAAUAAAACUCUAAACAGACCUUGACAAAAUUAAUCCUAGAGACUGGCACAGACUUACUUGGUGCUCCUUCCCCUUGCCCUAUUUAGAACUGAGAAUACUCCCUCUUGAUUCAGUUUUACUCUUUUUGAGAUCCUUUAUGGGGCUCCUAUGCCCAUCACUGUCUUAAAUGAUGUGUUUAAACCUAUGUUGUUAUAAUAAUGAUCUGUAUGCUAAGUUAAAAGGCUUGCAGGUGGUGCAGAAAGAAGUUUGGUCACAACUGUCUACAGUGAAUGAGCCGGGUACCCCAAGGACAUCUUACCAGUUCCAGCCAGAGAUCUGAUCUACGUACACCUGUGUCAUGCUGAGACCCUCAAGCCUCACUAGAAGGGUCCCUGCCUAGUUCUGUUUACUAAUCCGUCUUAUUCUGUUUUUGUUCCCAUGUUAAAGAUAGAGUAAAUGCAGUAUUCUCCACAUAGAGAUAUAGACUUCUGAAAUUCUAAGAUUAGAAUUACUUAGUAGAAGAAGAGGGGAAUGAAAGAAAGAUGAAAUUUCAAGACCUGUAAGUCAUAUAAAGUACUCAGAAAUUGCUGGUUGUUUGUGAGCCUAGAGGCUGCCUGGGGCUGAGAAAAGAGAAAAACAAACCUGGGUAUGCCUUGUAGUUAAAACAUUCCUGGGAACAUCUUGACCAUAAGAUAAAGGGGACUGUGAAGACAUAGCAGGGUUAUAUUAUCUAAGUCAACACCAUCUGGCCAGAAUCUCCCCUCUGUCUAUUGCCCCUUGGAGCCAGGUAAAGUCAUACAUCAACUGGUUGCUAUGUGAACAAAGAUAAGCACCCAGCCCACAGGAACAAAGUCCUGAUGCACUGUGUUCUUUCUGUUAAUGUUUGAAUAAGCCAAUAGUGUGUCGCUAUGCUGAAUUCCACACCCCUAAGCCCCUUACCCCAUAAAAGCCCCUGGCUUUCGAGCCUCGUGGCCGACAUCUGUUAUCUCCUGUGUGGGAUGCAUGUCGGCCCGGAGCUCCGUAAUUAAACGUCCUCAUGUAAUU
Molecule: long non-coding RNA, 3293 nt
Filed under: Mus musculus (house mouse)
Lineage: Eukaryota; Metazoa; Chordata; Mammalia; Rodentia; Muridae
Description: predicted gene, 55330
Source: RNAcentral